Molecule: long non-coding RNA, 1343 nt
Filed under: Oryctolagus cuniculus (rabbit)
Lineage: Eukaryota; Metazoa; Chordata; Mammalia; Lagomorpha; Leporidae
Description: lncRNA (ENSOCUG00000032790.1)
Source: RNAcentral
GUUCAGACUAAAUCGAGCAAAAUAGUUUACCUGGAUCUUCAUCCUGACCUUAAACCUGAACAUUUACUACCUUCAUCUAUUGUGGAAGCCUGGAAAAUUUAGCCUGCAAGAAAGUAAGAGCUACUUCCUUCAAGCAAGCACCUGUGUACCCUCCACAGCUGCAAACCUCACCCGCACCUGCUACUCUUUUCAAAGGCAGAGGAGCAGGUCUGUGCUUGACUCCCUACACCCUCCUUUGGGAAAUGGGCCUGGGGAAGGGAAGACGGGGUGUGCGGACGUUAUUCUUCUUUUUAUUUGACAGGCAGAGUGAGAGAGAGACAGAGAGAAAUGUCUUCCUUCCGUUGGUUCACUGCCCUAAUGGCCGCUAUGGCCUGCGCAGAGCGAUCCCAAGCCAGGAGCCAGGUGCUUCCUGUUGGUCUCCCAUGCUGGUGCAGGGGCCCAAGCACUUAGGCCAUCCUCCAUUGCCCUCCCGGGCCACAGCCGAGAGCUAGCCUGGAAGAGGAGCAACCAGAACUACACCCCGGUGCUGCAAGCGGAGGAUUAAGCAAAUGAGCCACAGCGCGGCCCUUAGACUUUAUUCUAAGCACUGCCCUAAGGGCGCGCACGCGCACGCGCACGCGCACGCUGGCUUACCCCUUGUAACCUAAAAGUUGUUUGUAUCCCCACUGCAUCAAUACAAACUGGAUGCACUUAAAGUUCAGCAGAAGUCCGAUGCCAAACUGCCGCUAAACGGAGGAGCUGAAGUUCGAAAGAGAAGUUUGAGAAGGUAAUAAAUAAAUGAUUAACCUUGCUCCCCCCCAGGUGGUUGUAGCCUUCCGGCCGUGUGGGAAUUCUACUUAGGGUGUUGAGGGGACACUGGGAGAACUGGAUCUGCAGAGAGCGACUCUUUAAAUGAUACCAUUUAUUUUUAGCUUUGGCCUUUAUUAUAUUCUUUCCACUUACAGAUCUUCUUUGCAGAGUUCCAAGGAGGGAAACCAGAGGCUUCUUGGGUUGUACGUGGUUACCAAGAAUCUGCUAAUCUAUAACUGGCACUUGCUGAGGGGUCUUCCUGCAAGAAGGGGUCCCCUCUUCUGUCCACUGCCUCCCCAACAAAUCUUGGAGAAUCAAAUAGGGCUGUAUACAAUGAUCAUUCCCACCUGGUGUGCAGACCCCUAACUGGCCCAUCAGGAGCCACUGUGAUCUGAAGUGUGCCAGGAUUGGAUACUGAAUUAACUGAAAAGUUGGAAAUGUCAGACAGUUGUACACACAAAAGUGACAACAGGUAAGCAGGACAUGAGAAUCAAGAGUAAAUUUCUUUGGCCAAAGUACAUAAGGGAGAAUAAAAUGCUUCUAUUUGGUUCUCA